AACGAACGCUGGCGGCAUGCCUAACACAUGCAAGUCGAACGAGACCUUCGGGUCUAGUGGCGCACGGGUGCGUAACGCGUGGGAACCUGCCCUUAGGUUCGGAAUAACUCCCCGAAAGGGGUGCUAAUACCGGAUAAUGUCUUCGGACCAAAGAUUUAUCGCCUUUGGAUGGGCCCGCGUUGGUUUAGCUAGUUGGUAGGGUAAAAGCCUACCAAGGCGACGAUCCAUAGCUGGGCUGAGAGGAUGAUCAGCCACACUGGGACUGAGACACGGCCCAGACUCCUACGGGAGGCAGCAGUGGAGAAUAUUGGACAAUGGGCGAAGGCCUGAUCCAGCAAUGCCGCGUGAGUGAUGAAGGCCUUAGGGUUGUAAAGCUCUUUUACCCGGGAUGAUAAUGACAGUACCGGGAGAAUAAGCUCCGGCUAACUCCGUG
RNAcentral lists this ribosomal RNA (433 nucleotides) under uncultured bacterium. RNAcentral describes it as "partial 16S ribosomal RNA". It matches the Rfam family "Bacterial small subunit ribosomal RNA", at positions 29 to 507 of the family's 1533-position model. The record is from RNAcentral.